This 427-nucleotide ribosomal RNA is filed under the name Gelanor sp. GH892. Its description in RNAcentral is "partial 16S ribosomal RNA". It matches the Rfam family "Bacterial large subunit ribosomal RNA", at positions 1846 to 2600 of the family's 2925-position model. The record is from RNAcentral. Lineage: Eukaryota; Metazoa; Arthropoda; Arachnida; Araneae; Mimetidae.
UUUUAAGUAAAAUUUGCUCAAUGACCUAAAUAGCCGCAGUAUACCUGUGCUAAGGUAGCAUAAUCAUUUGCCUUUUAAUUAAAGGCUUGAAUGAAAGAUUUAACAUUUCAAUUUCUAUUUUAAAAUUUUAAGUAACAAUUAUAUUAAGUGUAAAAAUACCCUUAUAAAAAAAAAAGACGACAAGACCCUAUUGAACUUAACUUUUGUUUGGCUGGGGCAGCCAAAUAAAUAUUAUUUUAUUUAUAUGUAUAUAAUAAACAAAUGACCCUAUACAAUAGACUGCUUGAUCAAGUUACCAUAGGGAUAACAGCAUAAUUUUUCUUUUAGCUCUUAUUAAAAGAAGAGAUUAUGACCUCGAUGUUGAAUUAUUUACCUUACUAGCGCAAGAGCUAACCAAGGGGGUCUGUUCGACCCUUAAAUUUUUACA